CGGCGAUCGAUUUGAAGUUUUUGAACUGCUGAAGGAUGGGCCGCAAAGCCGGUACCUUAUUCAUAAACCCAAAGAACUUCGGAAGUCUCCAAAAACCUUGCGUGAAGGAUAUGGUCACAUUUCUUAAUUGUUUGACUCUAAAUCAUAACAAGGACGAUAAAUGCAGCAGGCAAAAAUCACUUUUAAGUGCAUGCAUGGAGGCUCAGGGCAAAAACAGAAAACCUUGGGGUAGCAUUAAUUAUCACCUCCAGAGGCUUAACAGGGGAAGAAGGUAGUAUGUAUCAAAUUGCUUGUGCAUAAGCUAACAGUGUUGUGCAUUGGUGUGUCAUUUAGCAGGCAUUUGAACUUAAUAAAAAGCCUUACCAUGUCAUAGCUUUAAAGAGCUGGCUAUGACUAUGUUCCAAAACUUCUCCUUCUUUCUGGGGAAGUUUCAGUGAGUUGCUUCUGAUGAACCAUCAAAUAGUGUUUGCAGG
This 473-nucleotide unclassified non-coding RNA is filed under the name Hevea brasiliensis (rubber tree). The record is from RNAcentral. Lineage: Eukaryota; Viridiplantae; Streptophyta; Magnoliopsida; Malpighiales; Euphorbiaceae.